RNAcentral lists this ribosomal RNA (253 nucleotides) under uncultured bacterium. RNAcentral describes it as "partial 16S ribosomal RNA". It matches the Rfam family "Bacterial small subunit ribosomal RNA", at positions 524 to 776 of the family's 1533-position model. The record is from RNAcentral.
UACGUAGGGGGCUAGCGUUGUCCGGAAUCAUUGGGCGUAAAGCGCGCGUAGGCGGCCAGAUAAGUCCGGUGUGAAAGUCACAGGCUCAACCUGUGAAUGCCGCUGGAAACUGUCUGGCUUGAGUCCGGAAGGGGCGAGUGGAAUUCCUGGUGUAGCGGUGAAAUGCGCAGAUAUCAGGAGGAACACCAAUGGCGAAGGCAGAUCUCUGGGCCGUAACUGACGCUGAGGAGCGAAAGCAUGGGGAGCGAACAGG